RNAcentral lists this long non-coding RNA (16711 nucleotides) under Lynx pardinus (Iberian lynx). Lineage: Eukaryota; Metazoa; Chordata; Mammalia; Carnivora; Felidae. The record is from RNAcentral.
UUUCUCACCAGGAACGAAUUUUAGUGGAGAUGGGUCUAAUGUCCCCUCAUGCAGUCAGACAGACACGAACGAAAAACAGUGGUCCUAAUUAGCUACGGGUGGUCUUCUAUCCAGGUGAACAGAGGGCUUGUGGGCACGGGUCUGUCGCCUAGAGGAGAUGACAGGUGUUGGGAAGGACAUAAACACACAGCCCCAAGCGGUGCUUUAGGUUUGCCACAGGCGUGUUGGCUCUUCCCCUUGAGGCUGCCAAGAGGCGCAUAUAUGAGGUGGCCAGUCUGCGUCUAUCUAGCUGCUUUUAAAAAAUAAAAGGAACUUUAAGCAUGUUGCCAUUUCUUCUACAUAGUCCAAUAAAAAUGUGUCUACAAAUCAUUACAAAACCACCUUUUCGGCAACGUAUAGUUCACUGAGAUUACUUAGGCCUGGAUACCUUGUGAGAUACUAUCCAGUAAAGAGAAUACAUUAACACGAUAAUGCAGUAUAUUUCAGUAAAAAUAGAAUAAAUAAAAUAAAAAUAUCUUAAGCUGUAUUUAACAGGUUAAUUAAAAAAAUGAUAAGACAUACAAGGCAUAGUGAACAUGGCUGCCUGUUUACCGAGUCACAGAUACAAAGAAUGCAUAGAUAACUGAAUGUCACCACAAUAUCAGGUAAAACACCGGCAUCCGCACACAGGAAAAUACACACAUACUUUCAUACAUACUUUUUGGCCAUGGCAGAAAGUGUCUGAACGUACUGUUUAACAUAAUCAAUUUUACAAAAUUAAUUGCAUUUAGUAUGCAAAGCUAUUUUCAAAACAAAAUAUCUGCAGUAAAGUUUUCAAUAUGUAAAGGCUAUCGUUCGUCUUAAUGCAUCCUAUAAUUGCAUAUAUAAAUCAGUUUGCUACUUAAAGCUAGCUCAGUAUUCUUGAUCCUGAAAACAAACAAAUGUAUGCCUUAGAAAAUGAACGGUGGGUUCGGGUAGAGAUUUCCAAUAUAAAAGUGGAUGACCUGUUCAGAAUUUUUAUCACACUAAAACCUUUCAUUGUGGAGUUCGAGAUGAAACAUCAUCACGAUUGAAUUUUGAACAGCUUUUCAAAGGGCACAGUAAGGACUUUCUUAAUGCAAUAAUUUCUUAUGAUGGCACUGGUUACUUCAGAUAGAAUAGCAUAUAGGCUGGUGAGAAGUAGAAUUCAUUUCUAGAGUGGCAUCAUUUUGGUCAUAACACCAGGGUGCUAGCAAACAGUUCCAGAGUUCUGAGGGAAUAGCAGAAGGCCACCUGCUCCAUCGUGUUCUCUGGUGGCUAAGUACCAUGAGUUAGGAAUGUGUCUAUCACAAGGUAACAUCAUCUCUGGAAAACCUUGUAAGUUGAACAGGUCGCACAGCGUGUAGAAUCCUGUCCUCUACAACACAUUUGAGGCACACUGCAGGAAAACAGUCCUGGACUGAGAGAGGGCGAUGGUUUUAUGAUUAAUAUCACUGCGUGAGUAAUUGGGACAUAUUUCCCGCCUUCUACAGGGAAUUCUAAGAUUUCCUGACAAUAACUAGAUAUGCCCAGAGUAAUUUUGGAAAGACUCUUCCUCACCGAUGUAAAAGGAGCGUAACUUAUAACAGAGUUGGGAAGCGUGGGCUUUUGUCCCGGCUCUCUCACAAACUUUCGAGAGAUCUUAGGCAAGGUGAUUGAGCCUCUUGGUACUUUAUAUUUUUAUUUCUCAAAUGUGUUUAGUACCUUUCCCUACCUUGUAAGGCUCAAAUGUGAUAAGAAUGUGGAAACCAUUGACAAGUACACAGCAGUGGGUAAAUAAAGUGCUCCUUUUAAAACCGGAUGUUCUUAACGCAUUGAUUUUGACAUUAAGAAGCAAAUAAGACUAAUAUUUAGAUUGGUCUCCUUAGCAACUUCCUUUUAAAACAACAAUGUCAACAAGAGUCUAAAUCUGAGUAUCUUUGUAAGUACGUGAGAAACGUGAAGCAGGAAACUGCUAUUUUGGGGAAACUUGUUAAUAAGCAGUCCGUUGUUGCUAUGUUUAUUUUGCUCUGAUAUGAAAUUUUUAAAUCUUGAAAAAAUGGAAAAGAUAUAAAUUUAAAAAUAUAUCUAGUAAAGUCCAACAAAUCCCAAUAUUAAAUACAUAAAUUCAAAAGGUUCAAAUUUAAUGUAAUUUGUUGCCAUGGACAAUACAUGAUGGACAGACAGCUUUCUGGGCAAAAAGCAUUAAGGUAAGACUGAGCUAGAUACAGAAUCCUAGUGGGUUUCACUAGGAGGCGGACUAACAAAAUAAUGUGGUGGUGGAGAUCCAAAAUAUAAAUGACAUUUCCUCAACUCCAAAUUGCAUAUUGGCUAAUUAACAAACUAAGGAUAAAAGGCGUACGAGGAAGAUUUCAUUUUAAUGUUUAUGUAGAGAAUGGCCAGAGUGAACUAUAAUUCUCUAGCUGCAUUGUACAAUAUAAGGCAGAAGUUUGAAACAUGUCCUACCCGAAAUGCAUUAGGAUUUUCUUAAAUCUUUCUUGUUUUUAAUAAUCAGUUUGAAAACCAUCUAGAAAGAAAGGCUCUUUUUUGUUCAAUUUUAAUUUCUCAAAUUUGGUUUGUUUUUCAAUUUUCAAGUUUCACUUUUUCCCCAACAUCCCACAAAACAGCUGCAGACAUGAAAUGGUGUCCAUGUGUCAAAGGGCUUGUCAAGGAAAGCUGCCGGUUGGUUUCUGUACUGAUGCCAACAGCCAAUUCUGUCAACCCAAAGGUUCAAUUUCAUGAAAGACUGCAACAAAAACCCAUCAUCCUAGUUUUACAGCAAUUCAAUGGUAUCUGGUACGCAGUGGCUACUCCAAUGUUGGCAACAGGGCCAAGUGCUGCAGGACUUAAACAUUGCUUGUGACAGAUCCAGUCAAGAAGACAGUGAAACUCAGGCGUCAUUCACUCCAAGGACUCAGCGUUAGUUCACUAGGAGGGGUGUGGCCACAUUCUUCUCCGUGUGUGUGAAGUUAAUGUUCACGAUAUUUACAAUAAGAAAAAGACCUUCCACUGCUCAUGAUGUAUCUUACUGAUAGCAAAAAAAAUUAGUCAUGCUUCUUUUCAUAUCACAUGAUGGUGGCAAGACGAGAGAACAUGCUUGUCUAACACUGUUUGGUUAAGGAUAAAUUCUCUGAAGACAAAGCAUCAGCAACUGAAUGGAAGGCCAGAUAUCGUUCAUCUUCUUUAGUGUAGCUAUUCAAUCUUCAGGUAAAUAUUACAGAAUCCUGUAGCAUAUGCAGCUAUGGCGUUUCUGUGACAGGGCGUUUCUGUUUCAAAGUGUCAAUGAGGGAUAAGACCCCUCGUUUUACAUUGGUUGUGACUCUUCUGGUCACUGAGUCUGCUGGCGGAGGAGGUGGUCGAACUUUCUGUGAAGGCGGCCUGGCUACCAAGCACUUCUGGUAUCGUAACUGAAAUAAAACAAAAAUGUUUUAUGGUCAUUAAUGAUGUAUCAUCCUUUCUUGUUUAAUUUAUGAUUUGAUGACUUAAUGCAUCACCAAUACAUUUACUUGCAAAACUUAACGACCUAGCUCCUACGCAUUAAUCCAAGAGUUUUUUUUUUCCCCUUUUUAAAAAGUAUUUAUUUUGAGAGAAUGUGUGCAUGAGAGCACGGGAGGGGCAGAGAGGGAGAGAGAGAAUCCCAAGCAGACUUGCGCUGCCAGUGCAGAGCCCAACGCAGAGUUCCAUCUCAUGAACCAUGAGAUCGUGACCUGAGCUGAAAUCAAGGGUCGGACACUUAACCAACUGAGCCAUCCAGGGACCCUAAGUUUAUUCUGUUUCCUUAAUGUGGGUAUUUUAAGGGUUCUUAUGAUCAUUAGGCUCAGCAAAAGUGUUGUGGCUUUUGCCAUCCUUUUCUUCCACCCAUCUCCACCCUCUACUUGUUCUCUUUAUGGAUUGGCUGCAAUUAAUAUGCCAAACAGUCGAAGAGCUAAUGAAAAGGAAGAGGAUUGGGAGAGACAGUAUUAGGGUUUUGUCGGAGACACGUACAUCUUUGUACGUGAGGUAAGUGCUCAUGGCUACCUGGGAGACAACAUGGGAGAAAGGGCACAGUUUGAAUCUAGGUUCUACCAUUUAUGGGAACUGUGUGACCCAAGCAAGUUACUCAAUCUCUGAGCCUUAGUUUCUUCAAUGUAAAAUGGCAGAAGACUGGGACCUUUACAGAGGGUGUUAUGAUUAGGGAAUACUUGCAGCAUGCUGAAAACAGGCCUACCAAUGCAGGAGGCAUUCACAAAUGUUUGUUCCCCUUCCUGUUUCCUGCUUUAAUAAAAAAGAAUGAUGUAUAAAGAUUUUAGGGGCGCCUGGGUGGCUCAGUCGGUUAAGCGGCCGACUUCGGCUCAGGUCAUGAUCUCGCGGUCCGUGAGUUCGAGCCCCGCGUCGGGCUCUGUGCUGACAGCUCAGAGCGUAGAGCCUGUUUCAGAUUCUGUGUCUCCCUCUGUCUCUGACCCUCCCCUGUUCAUGCUCUCUCUCUCUCUCUCUGUCUCAAAAAUAAAUAAAUGUCAAAAAAAAAUUAAAAAAAAAAGAUUUUAGGAUACAUUUUAUCCGCGAGUCUAAAUCCUAAUGGAUUUAAAAAUUUUAAGUAAUCUCUACACCCCAUGUGGGGCUCGAACUCACAACCCCAAGAUCGAGAGUCACAUGCUCCAACGACUGAGCCAGCCAGGCACCCCUGAAUCCUAAUGGAUUUUAAAGUAUCCAUUAGCACUGUUGGCACCAUAGAUAGUUUCUCUCCUUCUGAAAUAUAACACAGUCCACCUAGUUUUCUAUUAAUGAAAAGUAAUUCUUCAAAAUUAGAUAAGGUUAAAAUUUACAAAGUAUGUUUUUUCCUAAUCUAAGCACUUUAAAAUAAUUCCAUGACUGAUUUUUAAAAAGCUACUUAAAUAUUAAUAGGUUCUUUGGUACAGUGUGAAACAGGUUGACGUUUCCCCAUGGGAAGCAUAAACUAUCCACAGCAGAACUCCGAGUCACAAAGCCCAAAGGCCACAGAACUAGCCCCUUCAACCCCAUCAUACGAGAAACGAUUUACCAAAUCUCCUCUGUGUAAGGCAUCUUGCCAGGUCUGCAACGCAACCCAAACCGCACACUUCCAAAGCACAGAUUUAUAAACGGGCAGGUGUGCAACACGGUACACUGGACCGGAAAUCUCUAACGUUAGGCAAGUCCAGUGUGAAUCAAAAUCGCACCUGAUGGGUUUCAUUACGGCUUCCUCUCUCAUUCUAAAUUUCACCAAAACAUCUUCAGCUGGGCCUAUGCCACUCAGCUGCAAAAUAUGCCUAAAAAUUAGGUGGAUUCAAAAGAAUGUGUUUACAAUACAGAUAUUUCAGGUGAUAGAAAUUCACGUGGAGAGAUUUCGGAUGGAGAAUCAUGCAGAUUUAAUUCAAGAGGAAAGCCAUGGAGUUAGAAAUGCUGGACUCUGAGCGUAAAGAAGAGGCCGAUGUCAUCAGCAUGACUCAUGCUGGAUUGGCUGAGCCACUUGAGCUGGCUGCCCUGUUAUAAUUAAAAUUAUAAGCACAUGAAUAAAAAUUGUUCCUAAGACAGAAAAUAAGUCUGGGAAUCAGACAACAAACCAUAACCAGUGAUAAAGCUAAUUAUUUAAUUGUCACCAGCAUUUAAAAUGUACAAUUACGGCUGACAGCCAUUCAUUUUAUGACUAAAACCAUCUGUUAUGAUCCCUUUUCAAUUUCAGGAAAUAACUAAAUAGUCAUCCUCCAUUUUUGCUUGACUGAAUGCUUUCAUUUUCUAUUGUCCCCUUCAUCCCAUCUCGGGCUCUUGUGCUGGGUCAGAGAUUCGUCGUGACUCCUCCACCAGCUCUGCCCCCACCACCCCCACCCUGCCCCUUCACAUGCAGGCAGAUCUGAAUUAGCAUCUGGCUCCGCAGUACUUGAGGGGAAAAUGCCCCUCUGACAAAGGACUGUGGGAAGAAGGAUGCCAGAUCAUGAGCACACAGCACUAGCUCUUACCCUCCCUCUUCCCUCCGUCCGUCUCCAUUCAAAGGUGCCUUUUAAGGGAAAAGUCAGCAGACUCCCUCUCCUCGUGACUCAUCAUUGCCAACUACAGCCCGCCUCAUCCUUUCCCUUCAUUCUUAACCUCAGUGAUGUACUGUAUGUAGAAAAACAGAGAACUCUCCCAGCCUCCAUGCCACCUGUCACUCUUGGAUUCUUAGCAUCUGACUAGUCUCAAAGUCACUGCGACCCAAUCAGGAGGCUAAACCCCAACCCUAGGUUCUUAAUCUACCACCAAGACCUCGCCCCAACUCUUUAUAUGACCCUCAUUUCAAUCCACCUUCACCAGCUCAUUUCCCUCAGCCGAAAAAAUGUGCAAAUCUCCCCCCGCCCCACCCAUCAUACAACAAGCAGCAAACCCCCUUACUGUUGCGCUACCCCUUUCCUGUCAGACUUUGGUCUAUUUUAAGGCCUCCACUUCUUUUUUCUCCAGGUCACUUUUCAGUCUAGUGUGGUCUUAUACUUCUAGUUAGAGCAUCUUUUACACUGCAACAGAAUUUUGGCUUAUGUGUCUCCUCAUAUACUUAAGCUCUGUAACGUAAGGCUCAUCUCUCAGCCCUACUGGAACUUCCCAGAGUCCAGCCCACAAAUGGUGGAUUGAAUUAAAUGAAGAACAGGUGCUUCAAGUUCACCAUUCCGCAUCCCCAGCCAGGCAAUUCUCUACAACAUCCCAAGUCAUCUACUCCUGCUUGUUCUCCUGGUUUAGACCCUCUGACACCCUCAUGUGACCAGUAAAAUGGCUUCUUGGCUGAUCUCUCCACCUCAACCUUAUCCUCUCAACCCAUCCUCUAACUUUGGUGGGUUUUGUUUUUGUUUUGAGUUUGCUUUUAAAACCUAAUACCAAUUCAUCUCUCUUGCUUAAUAAUCUUUGCUGAAGAUAAACAUGUUGCCGUGAUAUCACAGGCUUUUUAUCAUACAGACCUGACCUCCUUUACUUGACUCCAGCAACCGAACCUGCUGUUGCUAAGAAUCACCAUCCACCUCAGGUUUCGGUGCCUACAUUCAUACUGUUCCCUCAAAUUUUCUAGAACAUUUUCAGCGUCCAGCACAAUAGGUGCUCAAAGGAUAUUUGCAGAAUGAAUGAUGAGGUGUUUUUGUUUGAUAUACAUGGUGCAAAGAGAACUGGCUGUGUCACCUCAAAAACUCGGGGUUGCGGGGCACCUACUUGGCCCAGUUGGUUGAGCGUCCGACUUGGGCUCAGGUCAUGAUCUCCCAGUUGGUGUGUUCGAGCCCCACUUCGGGCUCUGUGCUGACAGCUCAGAGCCUGGAGCCUACUUUGGAUUCUGUGUCUCCCUCUCUCUCUGCCCUUCCCUGCUUGCACUCUUUCUCUCAAAAAUAAAUAAACAUUAAAAAACAAACAAAAAAACCCCCAAAACUUGGGGUUGAACACAGGCUUUGUCUUGUCAACUCUGUGCCCUGAGGCCCGCUCUUUCUUCUGAGCCUCUGUUCUGUCAUAAAGAAAACAGAACAACUACCUUACAAAUGGCUGUUUUAAGGAUUAAGUUCACAGAUAUAAAUUAAAUAAAAUAUGUAAGAAUGGUGGGCUUAAACCAACUAUCUGAAAUAAAAAUCAUUCAAUACACUGCAAUUUUUUUAAGUACCAAGUUCGUUCUAAAUAGCACCAAUUCAUACAUGACCAACAUUUCCUGAUCACCUAUUGAAAUUAAUUAGAGAUCAAGAAUUAAGAAUUUGUGGUUUUGAAGAUCACUGCUUUCAGUGAUACUGGAAAUCUCCACAGAACGUCGCUCCGCCCAGUCCCGCUUCUUGUAGGCGUCCUGGCCUCUUGAGAUGGUAAACCGCUCAUCGUGACUGUGUCCACAGGAAUGAGGGUGUUAUACAGCAAAACAUCACUUUAGAGAUUAGACAUAUUUUCCUUUAUAUUAAUAACUCUGUGCUAAUUUACCGCAUACGAGACAAGAGCAGUGGUGUGGGAGGUCCAACAGCUCCCUGGCGUGUGACUACUCACCAUGCAGGCGGCCUGUACCGCCUCAGACACGUUACCCGCAUUAGGCUCGCACCAGAAAACGUGGCACUCGAAACGCUGGUUCCCGGUGUCCAUGAUGAAGGCAAAUGUAUGAACAUCUUUCCCGACGCCCAUGAAGGACAGGAAUCGCACGCGGCACUCCACUAAGAUUUCCUCUUCAUUCUGCAAGACACAUUGGUCAGCGCCCACUCUCUCUGUGAAGCCAGGCAAGAGUUAUAAAAUAAACAUAUUCACUUCUUAGAUCAUAGAAUCAAGACUGGAGUGGCUGUGUAGAGACACUGGUGUUAAAAAUACAUAGCUCGACUGGAUUUAGAAAGGACUGUUUUCCUAGAAAGGCGAGUUUCUAAAUACGUCCGCAGCAGCCAUCAUUGCUAUGUGGGCGUCUCACUGACAUUUAAUCCCGCUCUGAGCUACACUCUCCGUGGCAGGCGUGUUCUGUUGCUGUCGGUCCUCUAGGCUCCAAGCCUGCGUGUUCACUGUGGGUAGGAACCCUGCCAUGUUUACUAUACUUCUUUGGUUUUGCCCAUACAGGGCACCCAGUGGCUCAAAACCCAUUUGCCCAAGUGAACCCGCUGGAAACCUCAGAGCAACCAGGAGAAAAGGAGCCAUGGGAUGGCUUUCCAUCCAGUUCUCCUUCCCAUGCUAAAUACCACGUGGAAUCAUAUUUCUAUCUAAAACUGUGUCCGAAAGCUGCCAAAUCACUUUGUUCCCCACAAACCGGUCCCCAUAUGGUACCCAUAUGAUGCAGUGUAAAGAAAUGUUCGGAAUUCAUUCUUACGAACACCACAUCCUUUGCAACAACCAUAUGUAGUUUGUGAAUUAGUAAACACAUCCAGAAUGUUGACUUCUGGAUCAUUAACAUCUUGACUUACUAAAUAUUCACUCAGGUGCUAUGGAAUUCCUUAACAGGCAAAGGAAACUAGCCUGAGACGCCAUGAAGUUUUCUUGGGAGAGACGAUGUUUAGGUUGAGAUCCCGGUAAAUGUUGGGUAGGCAAAGGCGUGGAGCACAGAAGUGCUUGUAGAUGCUGAGUCAGAAAAGGCUAUGACAUGUUUCAAGACUUAAGGAAAUCCAGCCUGGCAGGCUGGAGAGGCAGGCAGGGUCAGUGAGCAUCUUACUCCUAACUCCUUUUGAGAAGGUGAAUUGGGCUUGAAGGUGACCUCCUAGUGGACAGAAUCAGGAGCAGGCCAACAACCUGCGGUCUUUCCGUGGCAGGUGCUUCACAGUGGUGGAACUGAAAAGUGGUAAAGAGUCUGGAGCAGACUGCCUGGAUCAAGUCCUGAGCUUGCCACUUCUAGCUGUUGUGACCACGGGCAGUUAUUUAACCUCGCCGUGCCUCAGUUUCAUCAACCAUAAAAUUGGGAUAAUUUGGUUCGAGGCUAACGCUGGCCUCUCUGGAUGACCACCGGCCUCUGCUACUAUUGACAGAACAAACCAAAGACCCUCCACGACAGAAGCAUCUCCUGUGCCCCAACUCCAGACAAAUAGCCCAGGUAAUCCUGAAGCCUGGAGAGCAGCCAAAAAACCACUCCCCGUAAUGAGUUACUGCUAGCGUCAUAGUUACCUCUGGCAAAUGAUUUUAAUCUCUUGGGCCCAUGAGGAAGAAAGAAUGGGGAACACCAGGACAGGAGCUUCUUGGUUCAGGGGAGAGCAAAGUUAUGCAGAGAUCCAGAUACAAAGGACAAAAAGCUGUUUUAUAAAUGCAGGCUAUUUUAAUUACAAGUAAGCAUAACUCCCUGGAGGUGAAGCCUUGGCUAUGUGUCUAAGUUUCAUGGAAGAUUACUGUAUCCAGAGUUUCACUGUAACCCAGACAGGCCAACUGCAUCUACGAUCCUUCUUACCUUUUCACUGAUGACAGUCACAGUAGCAUCGGCCACAUUCAUGUUCACUGACGGCCAAUCCUCCUUGUUAGAUGAGGUCAUAAGACUUUCUAUGGCAUUGUUCAGGGUAUCCAUUCCUGUGGAUGGAACAGAUAAUUGAAAAAGGUCCUAAAGCCACUUAUCACUCUCCAAUGUGGGCCCAAAUCACCCAGUAACAGCUACACCCAAAGUGAUCUUUUUUUUUUUUAAAUAGUUCCAGGAGACAUUCUAUUUGAGCAUUUCAUUGCUUGGGGGGGAAAAAAAAGCCAGCUUUUUCAAUAGAAAGGAGGGUCAUGAGAGCCUCCACAGAUGUGCAGUGUGUGAUGUCCUGUCUAACUGGACCAUGGUACUACUUUCUCUCCAAAGAUUCCCCAGCCCCAAGUAUAUAAAUAACACUGAAGCAAAUGCUACCUUUUCCUAAGCAAGGAGGCUGGGAAAAAGGAACUGAACAGAAGCCAGCAACUGCCAGAAUACUCCGAUCUUCCUCCACCUUACUCUGCUACUUGAACAAGGCCAAGUUUGGAAGGCCCUGUACGUGAAUAGAAUGCACUAUACCAGGGGGCCCUUUCGCUGAGUGUUCCCACACCCGUUUUUUUGUGGCAAUGUGAGGGGGUAGGUCAGAUAACAACUUUGAGAUAUAAUUCAUCUAUAAUUCACUCAAAGUGUACAAUGCACUAGUUUUUAGUAAAUUCACAGAGGUGUGUAAUCAUCACCACAAUGAAUUUUAGAACAUGUUCAUUUCCUCAAAAAGGAACCCUGUACAUUUUUGGGGUCACCAUCCAUUUCUUUCCAGCCCCCUAGUUCUAGGCAAUUACUUACUUAAUUUAAUUUCUAUCCCAAGAGAUUUGUCUCUUCUGGACAUUUCAUAUACAUGGAAUCACACAGUAUGUGUGAUUUGUAACUGGCUUCUUUCAUUUAGCAUAUGGUCUUCGUGGUUCAUCCACGUUGUAGCAUUUAUCAGUACUUCAUUCCUUUUUUUUUUUUUAAGUACUUCAUUCCUUUUUUUUUAGUACUUCAUUCCUUUUUUAUUUAUUUAUUUAUUUAUUUUAGUACUUCAUUCCUUUUUACUGCCAAAUAAAAUUCCACUGUAUGGUAGCAUCACAUCUCAUGAAUCCAUUUGUAGUUGAGGGACAUUUGUUUCUACUUUGUGACUAUUACGAAUGCUGCUACUGUGAAUGUGUGUGUGGACAGAUGUUUUCAUUUCACUUGGGUAUGUGCCCAGGAGCAGAACUGCUGAGUCAAAUGGUAACUCUGUGAACUCUGGAGGAAGUGCCAGACGUUUUCCCAAGUGGCUGUACCACCUUACUUCCCCCCCCCCGAGCAGUGCAUGAGGGUUCAGGUUUCUCCACAGCUUUUUCCGCCCAGGAAAAGGGCACAUCUCCCCGCCUCCUUUCAGCUCGGUAUGGCUAAGCAACGAAGUUCUGCCCCCGGGGUGGGAGCUGACUGCCGUGUGUGCUGCUCUUGGAUCACACCUUGGAAGGAAAAGCAUGAGGGCUCCCUCAGCCCUUUCUCCCCGCCCAGGGGCCAAUGAGGACUGAAGCAGAGAUGGCCCCAGGGAUGGAAGGCCCACUUGAGAAGGGCAGAGCCCUGGCUCAUGCAUCUCUGGCCUGCUGGGUGCACCAGAACUAUGUGUCUGCCUUGUUGAAGUCCUUGUAUUCUGGGGACCACAUGACGAGCAGCUUAUUAGCCUGCCCUCUUUUGCUUUUUUGAUUGGGACUGUUCAUGUGCUGUGGCUGGUGACAGUGCAAGGGCCUAAUUCAAGCCUAGGAAAGGGAGCAGAACAGUAGAUCGCACCCGUUGGGGAGGGUGGACACCUCCCCCAAGCUCCCGAACACUUGCACAGUGAAAGGACAUAAAUGUUUCACAUACCGACGGGUUUGUCUACGGGUAACAUGCCCAAGUACUGCACGUGGAACUUCUGGACCAGCUCAGUCUUUGGUGUUGGAAAAUCUACUACAGGGAACAAAAGCAACAGAUCUUUGUCAGUGGUUCCAAUGUACACAUAAAACACAGCCACCACCUGUGCCACAACAGCCUGUCUCUAGAGGGAGAAGCGGCGCACCUGCUCUGGGAGAACAGCGGGUCUUCCGCCACACACAGGGGCUCUGUCAAUCAAAACCCCAUUCAACUUUGGUUUCCCAGCAGGGAAGCAGGAACAGUUAGUUCUUGGUGUCUUAAAGCUGCUACUGUCCUUUUCAUGCUAAAUAACAGUUGUUGAUGUCCUAUUUGUUAGGUGGUUGAUGCCCAGAGAGAAUUUACUCACAAGGGGCACAGAGACAGGAAAAAUAACUAAACAGAAUCCCCCCAAAUAUCAAUAUAUAUUUUUUUAUUUUAUUGAGGUAUAAUUGACACACAACAUUAUGUUAGUUUCAGGUGUCUAACACAGUAACUUGAUACUUGUAUACAUUGCAAAACCAUUACCAUAAGUCUACUUAACAUUCAUCAUCACAGUUACAAAAAAAUUUUUUUUCACAUCAACCCACAUAUUUUUAAGCUAGCUGGUUCUUAUCCCAGGCUGUACAGGAGUUAUAAAAUCACUAAAGACAAUAUUCUUUUUUUUUUUUUUUAAUUUUUUUUUUUUAACGUUUAUUUAUUUUUGAGACAGAGAGAGACAGAGCAUGAACGGGGGAGGGGCAGAGAGAGAGAGGAAGACACAGAAUCUGAAACAGGCUCCAGGCUCUGAGUGGUCAGCACAGAGCCUGACGCGGGGCUCGAACUCACAGACCGUGAGAUCAUGACCUGAGCCAAAGUCGGACGCUCAGCCGACUGAGCCACCCAGGCGCCCCAAGACAAUGUUCUUUAAUCUUGUCCUUUUUUGUAGCAAUGAAACUCAUCCUGGCCUUUUGUGCCUAAUCCUAUUGACACAAAAUGAACUCUGCGCACAGGAGGCUCCCUGGGGCUGGUUCAGUGUGUGUUUGUUGGGUUGAGCACGGUUUUUAAGGAGACUAGAAACGGCCGGGAGCCCUGUGAGACCUUCUGGCUCUUGGCUAGGAUGGACAGCACCAUCGUGAAGACAGCAGAUGCAUUGACCUACCUUGCAAGGGAACGUCGAGAUUCACAUUGGUUCUUUCCUGUAAGGAACUGCAGGCCAGGGCUUUGGCAUUCUUCCGUUCGGCCAUAAUCUGAAGGAGGGAAAAACACACUGUGGUUUGUGGUUACAGACGCCCUGCCUGCAGCUAUUCCAGCCAGUAAAGGGUCUGAGUGGACUUUGCUUCCAAGCUAAGCUGGCUUUACAUACAGUCUACUGCCUGACUUCCCACCCCCGUACUGCACACAUGGAGAACUGUGCUCAUUUUCCUCAGGGGUAACCGGUGAACGACUAGCCCUCAGAGCCCCCUGAUUGUUUGGAACUCAUUCCUCCACUCACCUGGCUCCUACCUCUAGUGAAACAACCCAAACAAAUAUCCUCUGCUGGCCCACUGAGGUCAGUGAGACAUGCACAGUAACGGACUUUUCCCACUGCUUCUGAAUGCUGGCUGUUAGGUACCCUCUUCUGGGCCCUGGGGAUAGCGAAUGAGUUCAAAUCCCACCUUCGCUACUUACUAGCUGUGUGAUCUUGGGCGAGUCACCUGACCUCUUGUGUCUCAUUUCCUCUUUGCAUGUUUAUGUCCCCAGUGAUAAGGUUAUGUCAGUUUUGUCAGUGCUCAGCAAUAUUAGCUGAUCGGGGUUGUUAUUCUUAAGCUGUUCAAUCUGCCAGCUGCCUACCACACUGGUUCUCUUCUGCUGGGGGCACUAACAUCUCCUUUACUGAAAAGUCAUCACUUCUCACUUCUGUUUACACAGUGCUGGUGUGGCUUAGGAGCCCAACCUUCGAUGACCCAAAAGGUGACUCACACCUUCAUUCCCAGCCCAAGCUUUCUGAAAAUUCCAGACAGAACGAAAGUCACUUCUUCUCCAGAGCUCCACUCCACCCUUGUCUCGGCCUGUGCCUGGGACAGCAGGCAAGGAGGCGGCUGAGUUUAACAACAUCAAAUUUUUACUGAGCACGUCCUCUGUGCCAGGCCGUGUUCUGGGGGCCUUACGCUCCCCAAGGACAAAGAUUUUUCUUUUCUGUUUUAGUCUCUGCUGUGUUCUUAGAACAGUCCCUGGCACGUAAAUAGUGUUCAGCAGUGCCUGUUGCAGAAAUGGAGGAAGAAAAUGGCACCUGGGGAGUGUGCUGUAAUGCUAUAACAGGUGCAGCCGGGCCCAGGCUUGUUGAUGCACCAGUGUGAAUCUGGGCUGGGAUAAACAGUGGUGUCAGGACCAGCACCCAUCCUGUAAGUCCUGGUCACCUGCAUCAGAGCAGCAGACUGGUCCCAGCUCCGACCCCCCCGCCCCCUGCCGAGGAAAUGUGGCUGGCACCUGCUUUGUCCCUGCUGCCCAGCAGUGGCUACAGCCUGGGCGUGGCUAGCUCAGAGGGGCUGUAAUGAGGCUGGGUCUUGACAUCCGCCUCAAACCAGAAAGGUGACGUCCAGCAGAGGUGACGGUGAGGUCUGGUGUUUAGAUUCAGUAAGUAAGUUUGGGGAGUAGAAAGGCCUGCCUGAAGGGCAUCUGUGACAGUGUCCUGGGGACCUGGCUAAUCACUAUCUGAACACAAGACGGCAGGUGAUAUGGUUGCUAAAAAUAUCAAUCACUCCAGUAUUGCAUCUUUGGAGGUCAAGGGACAGAGUGGCCCAUGGUCUUUUCUCUACUGGCUCACCCUUAGAACACUGUGUUCAUUCAGGGGGAACCAACUACAGUACGCUCAGAAGCGGGUGAGGGGCCUGGUAACCACGUGACCCAAAAGAGAUGGGGGUGGGGGUUCUGGAGAAAUGAGGGAGACAGGACAGAUACUUGUCCAGCACUUCUAAAUGUACAGGUACAGUUCACAGCUUCAAAUGUUUUAAGUAAUAAAGGGCUGCCCAGCAAACAGACAAGAUGGAGGCAUCUUUCCCUGUUGCUACAGAUUUCACAUCUCAAGUAAAUACGCGGAAGUUCUAGAGAAGAGGACUUCAGGUCUACACAAGAAAGAACUCUGUAACAGUCAGCGCUGCUCAUUUUAAUAGAACAGCCUCCUGAAAAGUAGGGGGCCCUGUGGAUGGAGGUCAAAGGAGGGACCAGGCAGAGGGUGGGGAUGUUUCUAGCAGGACUUCUCUGCUGGAGGGAAGGAAGGCUAGUCCCGAGAUGCCCGACUGUCUGUCCUCAUUCUGAGGCUCUGUGACUCUGGUUAAGGAAGCAGGACCUCCCCAGUGUGAGACACUGACCACAGCCCUGCCUCACAGCCGGUCAGUUUCCAUGAGCAGCUAUGUGUCCUCCUGGAGUCAGUGUGGGUUCACGGCAACUCCCGGCUGCCUGCAUUUGCACAGACACCCUCCCUUCUCCCUGUGUUUACUCUCAGAUCAGGGGGCCCUGUCUCUGGAAAAUCUGCCCUGACUCCUUUCCCCCUUUUCCCAGUUAGGCUCGGGGUACCCAUCUCUACCACCUUGCCCGUCACUGUUCUGCCCACCUACCAUAUCCUCCAAACUGUGGGAGGGUCAAAGGCUCAGCUCAUUUUGUGGGUGGAGAGCCAUUGAGAGCACCACCUGAAAUGCAGGAGUACUUUUCCUGGGCUAAAUACAUGGUUUGCUCGCUUCUCCCUGAAUGCAAUGCAGGCCCCCUGCCCCUGCCCCCUGCCCCUGCCCUUUCACGGCCCCUUCCCUGCUCAGGCAGUGAGAAAAAAGAGAGGGACUGACCACAGUGUCCUGACCUGCCUUACCUUAGAACAGAUUUCGUGGAGACUUGUGGCAAUGGCUUUUGCUGGUGUGUCACAUCGAAAUACAUGACAUUUCAAAAUUCGCGUAUCUUUGUCUCUUGCUACGUAAGCAAAAUCUCUGUGCAAACAAAAUUAUCAGCAUGUUAGAAAAGGAAACUUUACCAACACACUCUCUAGUGACGAAUGUUAGCUGAGCAAGGAGCCGGUAUGUCAGUGGUAAACAGAGUAUGCGAGGGCUAAAAACAAAACGUAAACUUCAAUAGCUACCCCAAAAUGGAGGAGCAGUUUCAUGGAUUUAAGAAUUCAUUUCUGGGGCGCUUGGGGGGCUCAGUCGGUUAAGCAUCCGACUUCGGCUCAGGUCAAGAUCUCGCCAUUUGUUGAGUUCGGGCCCCACGUCAGGCUCUGUGCUGACAGAGCCUGGAGCCUGCUUCGGAUUCUGUGUUCCCCUCUCUCUUAAAAAUAAACAUUAAAAAAAAAAAAGUUUUUUAAAGAAUUCAUUUCUGAGUAAAAGAACUACAAUGUUUCCCAAAGUUAGUGUGCUGAACUCCUGGAAACUCUUACAGCCCUUAAUGAAAAACUGAAUUCUUGAUGAACUUUCUCUCUAGUGUAACAACAAAUACCAUGAUUAUAAAAGAGAAAAGGGGCUUGAGAAGAGCAUGAAUGUGCAUGAGCACUAUUAUGACAAACGCAGUGGUACAGCAGAGGCAGAACAAUAGGGGCUGAUGGGUAAACACGUGCACGGAGAAUGCGCUGGACCCACAGCUGCAGGAGAAAGCGGAUGGGCAGUCACGGGCUGGGCUGUGACACAAGGAGACACCACAGAUUGAAAUCCUGUCAAAGGCGUUUGAUUCUGUUAAGCGCGGCUCCCACUCCAGAGCCCGGGGUGACGGCGGCAGCAUGGCACUCUAUAUCGUCAGCCCAGCCACCUCGGUGGGCGUGCAGCUGGUGCUGCGUGUUAGCAUCUGUUCUGCUGAUGAAAAGGAUAUCGGCUGUGGCAAGACCUGGCUUCAAAAGAACCGGGCCGAACAACCAACCGUACAACUAAAUUUCUUACUGUUCGUACUGGAGGACAGUGGUUUAAAGAUCGAAGUGUUUAAGAACAAUACUCGCCCAGAUUUACCCCAUCUGGAUCACAACGCGUUCUUUGUGUUUGUUGCUUAAGCCAGGAUACUGUCUGUAAAUGUAACCAC